AUUAAACGCUGGCGGCAUGCCUUACACAUGCAAGUCGAACGGCAGCACGGGGGCAACCCUGGUGGCGAGUGGCGGACGGGUGAGUAACACAUCGGAACGUGCCCUGGAGUGGGGGAUAACGCAGCGAAAGCUACGCUAAUACCGCAUAUUCUGUGAGCAGGAAAGCAGGGGAUCGCAAGACCUUGCGCUUUGGGAGCGGCCGAUGUCGGAUUAGCUAGUUGGUGGGGUAAAGGCUUACCAAGGCGACGAUCCGUAGCGGGUCUGAGAGGAUGAUCCGCCACACUGGGACUGAGACACGGCCCAGACUCCUACGGGAGGCAGCAGUGGGGAAUUUUGGACAAUGGGCGGAAGCCUGAUCCAGCCAUGCCGCGUGAGUGAAGAAGGCCU
This 387-nucleotide ribosomal RNA is filed under the name uncultured bacterium. RNAcentral describes it as "bacterial SSU rRNA". It matches the Rfam family "Bacterial small subunit ribosomal RNA", at positions 29 to 417 of the family's 1533-position model. The record is from RNAcentral.